CAGCAGCUCAAAUUUGAAAUCUGACCCUUUCAGGGUCCGAGUUGUAAUUUGCAGAGGAUGCUUCGGGUUCGGCGCCGAUCUAAGUUCCUUGGACAGGACGUCAUAGAGGGUGAGAAUCCCGUAUGUGACCGGCCACCACGCCCGUGUGAAGCUCCUUCGACGAGUCGAGUUGUUUGGGAAUGCAGCUCAAAAUGGGUGGUAAAUUUCAUCUAAAGCUAAAUACUGGCCAGAGACCGAUAGCGCACAAGUAGAGUGAUCGAAAGAUGAAAAGCACUUUGGAAAGAGAGUCAAACAGUACGUGAAAUUGUUGAAAGGGAAGCGCUUGCAACCAGACUUGCCCGCGGGUGAUCAACCGGUAUUCUCUUACCGGUGCACUCGCCUGCGGUCAGGCCAGCAUCGGUUCGGGCGGCUGGACAAAGUCCACCGGAAUGUAGCUCCUUUCGGGGAGUGUUAUAGCCGGAGGUGCCAUGCAGCCUGCCCGGACCGAGGACCGCGCUUCGGCUAGGAUGCUGGCGUAAUGGUUGUAAGCGACCCGUCUUGAAACACGGACCAAGGAGUCUAACAUCUAUGCGAGUGUUUGGGUGUCAAACCCAUGCGCGUAAUGAAAGUGAACGGAGGUGGGAACCCUCAAGGGUGCACCAUCGACCGAUCCUGAUGUCUUCGGAUGGAUUUGAGUAAGAGCAUAGCUGUUGGGACCCGAAAGAUGGUGAACUAUGCCUGAAUAGGGUGAAGCCAGAGGAAACUCUGGUGGAGGCUCGCAGCGGUUCUGACGUGCAAAUCGAUCGUCAAAUUUGGGUAUAGGGGCGAAAGACUAAUCGAACCAUCUGCUACUAGAUGGCAUACGGGCCCGUGUGCCCCAGUAGUCCCCGCACGGCGGGGGCGACAUCGUCGGUCUCUUCGGGGACGCCUCCGGGUUACCCGCAGUGAGCCUCGGGCUCAUCCACAGACUAAGUGGCGGUGGCCGUGCCCCGGAGCACGGUUAGGAUAUAGCCGAUCCACCC
RNAcentral lists this ribosomal RNA (1001 nucleotides) under Acarospora stapfiana. RNAcentral's name for it is "partial large subunit ribosomal RNA". It matches the Rfam family "Eukaryotic large subunit ribosomal RNA", at positions 102 to 1443 of the family's 3401-position model. Lineage: Eukaryota; Fungi; Ascomycota; Lecanoromycetes; Acarosporales; Acarosporaceae. The record is from RNAcentral.